RNAcentral lists this transfer RNA (66 nucleotides) under Cordylochernes scorpioides. Its description in RNAcentral is "tRNA-Asp". Lineage: Eukaryota; Metazoa; Arthropoda; Arachnida; Pseudoscorpiones; Chernetidae. The record is from RNAcentral.
AUCGGCGGGGAAUCGAAUCCGGGUCGCCCGCGUGACAGGCGGGAAUACUAACCACUAUACUACCGA